GCCUGGGUGGCUCAGUCAGUUGAGUGUCUGACUUCGGCUUAGGUCAUGAUCUCAUGGUUUGUGGGUUCGAGCCCCACUUCGGGUU
This 85-nucleotide transfer RNA is filed under the name Felis catus (domestic cat). It matches the Rfam family "tRNA". Rfam says of the family: Transfer RNA (tRNA) molecules are approximately 80 nucleotides in length. Their secondary structure includes four short double-helical elements and three loops (D, anti-codon, and T loops). The record is from Rfam by way of RNAcentral. Lineage: Eukaryota; Metazoa; Chordata; Mammalia; Carnivora; Felidae. RNAcentral also lists the same sequence under 1 other name.